RNAcentral lists this unclassified non-coding RNA (345 nucleotides) under soil metagenome. RNAcentral describes it as "partial contains 5.8S ribosomal RNA, internal transcribed spacer 2, and large subunit ribosomal RNA". The stretch from base 1 to 119 matches the Rfam family "5.8S ribosomal RNA", at positions 35 to 154 of the family's 154-position model. The record is from RNAcentral.
GAUGAAGAACGUAGCGAAAUGCGAUACGUAAUGUGAAUUGCAAAUUCAGUGAAUCAUCGAGUCUUUGAACGCACAUUGCGCCCCCUGGUAUUCCGGGGGGCAUGCCUGUCCGAGCGUCAUUGCUGCCCUCAAGCACGGCUUGUGCGUUGGGCCCCGUCCUCCGAUUCCGGGGGACGGGCCCGAAAGGUAGCGGCGGCACCGCGUCCGGUCCUCGAGCGUAUGGGGCUUUGUCACCCGCUCUGUAGGCCCGGCCGGCGCUUGCCGAUCAACCCAAAUUUUUAUCCAGGUUGACCUCGGAUCAGGUAGGGAUACCCGCUGAACUUAAGCAUAUCAAUAAGCGGAGGA